Molecule: ribosomal RNA, 243 nt
Filed under: uncultured eukaryote
Lineage: Eukaryota
Description: partial large subunit ribosomal RNA
Rfam family: Eukaryotic large subunit ribosomal RNA
Source: RNAcentral
AUAUCAGUAAGCGGAGGAAGAGAAACCAACAGGGAUUUCCCGAGUAACUGCGAGUGAAAAGGGAAGAGCUCAGCGCCAAAGACGUGUGCCUAGCGCAUUCGUCGGUGUGGCGUUCGAAGGGCCCGAUCUGUGAAUGUGUGGCGGUCUAAAUUUCGCUGGAACGCGGUUGCAAAGAUGGUUUUACACCAGUCUGGCCGUCGCUGCUCGCAGAGUAGGCGCUUUUGGAGUCGAGUUGUUUGGAAA